This 495-nucleotide ribosomal RNA is filed under the name uncultured bacterium. RNAcentral describes it as "partial 16S ribosomal RNA". It matches the Rfam family "Bacterial small subunit ribosomal RNA", at positions 28 to 507 of the family's 1533-position model. The record is from RNAcentral.
GACGAACGCUGGCGGCGUGCCUAAUACAUGCAAGUAGAACGCUGAAGGAGGAGCUUGCUCUUCUGGAUGAGUUGCGAAAGGGUGAGUAACGCGUAGGUAACCUGCCUGGUAGCGGGGGAUAACUCUUGGAAACGAUAGCUAAUACCGCAUAUGAGUAGAUGUUGCAUGACAUUUGCUUAAAAGGUGCAAUUGCAUCACUACCAGAUGGACCUGCGUUGUAUUAGCUAGUUGGUGGGGUAACGGCUCACCAAGGCGACGAUACAUAGCCGACCUGAGAGGGUGAUCGGCCACACUGGGACUGAGACACGGCCCAGACUCCUACGGGAGGCAGCAGUAGGGAAUCUUCGGCAAUGGACGGAAGUCUGACCGAGCAACGCCGCGUGAGUGAAGAAGGUUUUCGGAUCGUAAAGCUCUGUUGUAAGAGAAGAACGAGGGUGAGAGUGGAAAGUUCACACUGUGACGGUAUCUAACCAGAAAGGGACGGCUAACUACGUG